RNAcentral lists this ribosomal RNA (583 nucleotides) under uncultured bacterium. RNAcentral describes it as "partial 16S ribosomal RNA". It matches the Rfam family "Bacterial small subunit ribosomal RNA", at positions 355 to 926 of the family's 1533-position model. The record is from RNAcentral.
UGGGGAAUAUUGCACAAUGGGCGCAAGCCUGAUGCAGCCAUGCCGCGUGUGUGAAGAAGGCCUUCGGGUUGUAAAGCACUUUCAGCGAGGAGGAAGGUGGUGAGCUUAAUACGCUCAUCAAUUGACGUUACUCGCAGAAGAAGCACCGGCUAACUCCGUGCCAGCAGCCGCGGUAAUACGGAGGGUGCAAGCGUUAAUCGGAAUUACUGGGCGUAAAGCGCACGCAGGCGGUUUGUUAAGUCAGAUGUGAAAUCCCCGGGCUCAACCUGGGAACUGCAUUUGAAACUGGCAAGCUAGAGUCUCGUAGAGGGGGGUAGAAUUCCAGGUGUAGCGGUGAAAUGCGUAGAGAUCUGGAGGAAUACCGGUGGCGAAGGCGGCCCCCCUGGACGAAGACUGACGCUCAGGUGCGAAAAGCGUGGGGAGCAAAACAGGAUUAGAUACCCUGGUAGUCCACGCUGUAAAACGAUGUCGAUUUUGGAGGUUGUGCCCUUGAGGCGUGGCUUCCGGAGCUAACGCGUUAAAUCGACCGCCUGGGGAGUACGGCCGCAAGGUUAAAACUUAAAUGAAUUGCGGGGUCUAGCUG